Molecule: ribosomal RNA, 391 nt
Filed under: uncultured bacterium
Lineage: Bacteria
Description: bacterial SSU rRNA
Rfam family: Bacterial small subunit ribosomal RNA
Source: RNAcentral
GGCGGACGGGUGAGUAACGCGUGGGAACGUGCCUUCUGGUCUGGAAUACCCUGGGAAACUAGGGCUAAUACCGGAUACGCGCGAGAGCGGAAAGGUUUACCGCCGAAGGAUCGGCCCGCGUCUGAUUAGCUAGUUGGUGAGGUAACGGCUCACCAAGGCGACGAUCAGUAGCUGGUCUGAGAGGAUGAUCAGCCACACUGGGACUGAGACACGGCCCAGACUCCUACGGGAGGCAGCAGUGGGGAAUAUUGGACAAUGGGCGCAAGCCUGAUCCAGCAAUGCCGCGUGAGUGAUGAAGGCCUUAGGGUUGUAAAGCUCUUUUACCCGGGAUGAUAAUGACAGUACCGGGAGAAUAAGCCCCGGCUAACUCCGUGCCAGCAGCCGCGGUAAU